UGUAAUUGAUGAAGGAUGGAAUAUAACUGCAAAUAAUUAAGAAAUAAAUGUUAUAUAUAUAUUUAAGCACCUAAGAGAAUGCUUGUGUGUGUGUGUGUGUGUGUGUGUGUGUACUGUAUAUAUAUGGAACAGCAGCCCUGCCUGAAGGCUUACAA
Non-coding RNA from Podarcis lilfordi (Lilford's wall lizard), 155 nucleotides. NCBI's taxonomy places the organism in Eukaryota, Metazoa, Chordata, Lepidosauria, Squamata, Lacertidae. The record is from the annotation of a GenBank genome assembly.